UUGCUUAGUUCACUUCAGCAGCACAUACACUAAAACCGGAAUGAUACAGAGAAGAUUAGCAUGGCCCCGAGCAAGAUGCACACAGAUUCAUGAAGUGAUCAAAUAUAAG
Tursiops truncatus (common bottlenose dolphin) is the source of this 109-nucleotide small nuclear RNA. The record is from Ensembl. NCBI's taxonomy places the organism in Eukaryota, Metazoa, Chordata, Mammalia, Artiodactyla, Delphinidae.